This 64-nucleotide transfer RNA is filed under the name Eremobates cf. palpisetulosus SEM-2008. Its description in RNAcentral is "tRNA-Asn". The record is from RNAcentral. Lineage: Eukaryota; Metazoa; Arthropoda; Arachnida; Solifugae; Eremobatidae.
UUAAUGAUAGUCCAAAACAAGACCUCUCACUGUUAAUGAGAAAAUAAAUUAUAUUUUCAUUAAA